UAUCAUCCCUCAAGCCUGGCUUGUCGUUGGACCCCUGGGUGGUGCGAGUCACCCGGUCCCAAAGAUAAUGACGGUGUCCGUAGAACCCUCGGUACAAUGAGCUUUGUUAAGCACGUACCGGCACGGGCUCGCGGACCCGGUCUGUCACCAUAAAUUUUCAGGUUGACCUCGGAUCAGGUAGGGAUACCCGCUGAACUUAA
RNAcentral lists this unclassified non-coding RNA (200 nucleotides) under soil metagenome. Its description in RNAcentral is "partial contains internal transcribed spacer 2 and large subunit ribosomal RNA". The record is from RNAcentral.